Aethalodelphis obliquidens (Pacific white-sided dolphin) is the source of this 162-nucleotide long non-coding RNA. RefSeq lists it as uncharacterized. The transcript has 3 exons. The record is from RefSeq and is a predicted model, not a curated record. NCBI's taxonomy places the organism in Eukaryota, Metazoa, Chordata, Mammalia, Artiodactyla, Delphinidae.
AAAAUUUUGGGAUGGCCAAAAGGUUUGUUUUUCCCUAAGAUGGCUCUAGUGUCACUUAGUUGUCUUUAACUUCAUUUGAAACAAUUUUGUUAGAUUGUAUGUGACAGCUGUCAUAUCAGCAUGCAUUUAAAAAAAGACAUCAAAAUUGGGCUUCCCUGGUGG